AACGAACGCUGGCGGCAGGCCUAACACAUGCAAGUCGAACGCUCGUAGCAAUACGAGAGUGGCAGACGGGUGAGUAACACGUGGGAACCUUCCCUAUGGUUCGGAAUAGCUCAGGGAAACUUGGGGGUAAUACCGGAUAAGCCCUUCGGGGGAAAGGAUUUAUCGCCAUUGGAUGGGCCCGCGUCGGAUUAGCUAGUUGGUGAGGUAACGGCUCACCAAGGCAACGAUCCGUAGCUGGUCUGAGAGGAUGAUCAGCCACACUGGGACUGAGACACGGCCCAGACUCCUACGGGAGGCAGCAGGUGGGGAAUAUUGGACAAUGGGGCGCAAGCCUGAUCCAGCCAUGCCGCGUGAGUGACGAAGGUCUUCGAUUGUAAAACUCUUUUGGCGGGGACGAUAAUGACGGUACCCGCAG
This 415-nucleotide ribosomal RNA is filed under the name uncultured bacterium. RNAcentral describes it as "bacterial SSU rRNA". It matches the Rfam family "Bacterial small subunit ribosomal RNA", at positions 29 to 484 of the family's 1533-position model. The record is from RNAcentral.